RNAcentral lists this long non-coding RNA (480 nucleotides) under Nicotiana benthamiana. Its description in RNAcentral is "long non-coding RNA (NBEN_LNC015021)". Lineage: Eukaryota; Viridiplantae; Streptophyta; Magnoliopsida; Solanales; Solanaceae. The record is from RNAcentral.
GGAGUAGCCCAGUAACAGCGGGAAUAGCAGCAAAACUCAGGAGAUUACAACCAAGCAGAAAAACCAGGAUUUUUCAAACCAACCGAAAACCAAUAGUAAAACCAAGCAACACUACUUGAAUGCCAGUAGUAUUAGAAAACAAGUACAGACAAACAGAGAAAUAACCAGUUGCAACAAAUAGUCACUUCUGAUUUUUAUCACUCAAGAAAAGAAGCUUGAAGCUUCAAUGAACAAUAGCAAUUGAUGCUGAUCUUUAACAGUGAAGAAAAGAAACAGAUUUUUUUUCGGUUUCUAACUUUCGAACUCUCUCUAAUUCUUAAGAUUCAAAAUCUUUUUGUCUCCUCUCAAGAUAUGAAAAUUAUGUUUUCUCUCUCAAUUCUCAGUCCUCUAAGUGACAAAUGACUUCUAAUUUAUAACCAAAGCCAGACUCUUUCUCCCCUCCCCUUUAAUUAUUAUCCCUACCCAUUAUUACCCCAUUUU